CUAUGCCUACGGGAGGCAGCAGUGGGGAAUAUUGGGCAAUGGGCGCAAGCCUGACCCAGCAACGCCGCGUGAAGGAAGAAGGCUUUCGGGUUGUAAACUUCUUUUGUCAGGGACGAAGCAAGUGACGGUACCUGACGAAUAAGCCACGGCUAACUACGUGCCAGCAGCCGCGGUAAUACGUAGGGGGCAAGCGUUAUCCGGAUUUACUGGGUGUAAAGGGAGCGUAGGCGGCAGUGCAAGUCAGAAGUGAAAGCCCGGGGCUCAACUCCGGGACUGCUUUUGAAACUGUACAGCUUGAUUGCAGG
RNAcentral lists this ribosomal RNA (305 nucleotides) under uncultured bacterium. RNAcentral's name for it is "bacterial SSU rRNA". It matches the Rfam family "Bacterial small subunit ribosomal RNA", at positions 333 to 652 of the family's 1533-position model. The record is from RNAcentral.